RNAcentral lists this transfer RNA (73 nucleotides) under Podarcis lilfordi (Lilford's wall lizard). It matches the Rfam family "tRNA". From Rfam's summary of the family: Transfer RNA (tRNA) molecules are approximately 80 nucleotides in length. Their secondary structure includes four short double-helical elements and three loops (D, anti-codon, and T loops). Further hydrogen bonds mediate the characteristic L-shaped molecular structure. tRNAs have two regions of fundamental functional importance: the anti-codon, which is responsible for specific mRNA codon recognition, and the 3' end, to which the tRNAs corresponding amino acid is attached (by aminoacyl-tRNA synthetases). tRNAs cope with the degeneracy of the genetic code in two manners: having more than one tRNA (with a specific anti-codon) for a particular amino acid; and 'wobble' base-pairing, i.e. permitting non-standard base-pairing at the 3rd anti-codon position. The record is from Rfam by way of RNAcentral. Lineage: Eukaryota; Metazoa; Chordata; Lepidosauria; Squamata; Lacertidae.
GUUUGGAUAGCUCAGUCGGUAGAGCUUGAGACUCUUAAUCUUAGGGUCGUGGGUUCAAGCCCCACAUUGGGCA